RNAcentral lists this long non-coding RNA (381 nucleotides) under Fukomys damarensis (Damara mole-rat). RNAcentral describes it as "lncRNA (ENSFDAG00000030972.1)". Lineage: Eukaryota; Metazoa; Chordata; Mammalia; Rodentia; Bathyergidae. The record is from RNAcentral.
AGGAUGGACGUGACCGGGUGGUGACUGUCACCCCCUAUGGCUCACAGUUGUUUGUGAGCAAUGCCAACACCUGACAGCUCACCUUCCCCCGAGUUCAGCUGAGCUCCUGUAGGAUGGGGACGAAGCCCUGUGGGCCAUGAGCCCAUCCCCAAGUCACCCCGGCACCCUUCCACAUCUACGCCAGCAGCGAACACCAGGCACAUUCUUGCAGACGGCCAUCGGGGCAGAGGUGCAGCACUUCCAAGCUCCAGAUGCUCACGGUCAGAAACCAGGAGUCUGCCGCUUCUGUGAAGCACAAUUCUUUUUUUUUUGGUACUAGGAAUUGAACUCACGACCUUGCACUUUUGAGGCAGGUGGCUGCAGCACUGAGCUGAAUCCCCA